Molecule: ribosomal RNA, 460 nt
Filed under: uncultured bacterium
Lineage: Bacteria
Description: partial 16S ribosomal RNA
Rfam family: Bacterial small subunit ribosomal RNA
Source: RNAcentral
CCUACGGGAGGCAGCAGUGAGGAAUAUUGGUCAAUGGACGAGAGUCUGAACCAGCCAAGUAGCGUGAAGGAUGACUGCCCUAUGGGUUGUAAACUUCUUUUAUAAAGGAAUAAAACGAGGCACGUGUGCCUUUCUGCAUGUACUUUAGGAAUAAGGAUCGGCUAACUCCGUGCCAGCAGCCGCGGUAAUACGGAGGAUCCGAGCGUUAUCCGGAUUUAUUGGGUUUAAAGGGAGCGUAGAUGGGUUGUUAAGUCAGUGGUGAAAUUUUGCGGCUCAACCGUAUAAUUGCAAUUGAUACUGGCAGUCUUGAGUACAGUUGAGGUAGGCGGAAUUCGUGGUGUAGCGGUGAAAUGCUUAGAUAUUACGAAGAACCCCGAGUGCGAAGGCAGCAUACUAACCUGUGACUGACGUUGAUGCUCGAAAGUGUGGGUAUCGAACAGGAUUAGAUACCCUUGUAGUC